Molecule: ribosomal RNA, 469 nt
Filed under: uncultured bacterium
Lineage: Bacteria
Description: bacterial SSU rRNA
Rfam family: Bacterial small subunit ribosomal RNA
Source: RNAcentral
GAGUGCUUGACACAAACGGAUUAAGGAUUUUCACUUAGUGGCGCGAAGGGUGAGUAACACGUGGGUUAUCUGCCUUGGAGACUGGAAUAACAAUUGGAAACGAUUGCUAAUGCCGGAUGAUAUGUAAGAUGAUACGUUAUCUUAUAUUAAAAGGAGCCUUUAAAGCUUCACUUCAAGAUGAGCCUGCGGCGCAUUAGCUAGUUGGUGGGGUAAUGGCCUACCAAGGCAACGAUGCGUAGCCGAACUGAGAGGUUGAUCGGCCACAUUGGGACUGAGACACGGCCCAAACUCCUACGGGAGACAGCAGUUAGGAAUAUUCGUCAAUGGGGAAACCCUGAACGAGCAAUGCCGCGUGAAUGAUGACGGUCCUCUGGAUUGUAAAAUUCUGUUGUUGAGGAAGAACGUCCUGUGUAGGAAAUGACAUAGGAGUGACGGUACUCUUCAAGAAAGCUCCGGCUAACUACGUGCC